Molecule: ribosomal RNA, 429 nt
Filed under: Chloroflexota bacterium
Lineage: Bacteria; Bacillati; Chloroflexota
Also listed under: 1 other name
Description: Chloroflexi bacterium partial 16S ribosomal RNA
Rfam family: Bacterial small subunit ribosomal RNA
Source: RNAcentral
UAGGGAAUCUUCGGCAAUGGACGAAAGUCUGACCGAGCAACGCCGCGUGAGUGAAGAAGGUUUUCGGAUCGUAAAACUCUGUUGUUAGAGAAGAACAAGGACGUUAGUAACUGAACGUCCCCUGACGGUAUCUAACCAGAAAGCCACGGCUAACUACGUGCCAGCAGCCGCGGUAAUACGUAGGUGGCAAGCGUUGUCCGGAUUUAUUGGGCGUAAAGCGAGCGCAGGCGGUUUCUUAAGUCUGAUGUGAAAGCCCCCGGCUCAACCGGGGAGGGUCAUUGGAAACUGGGAGACUUGAGUGCAGAAGAGGAGAGUGGAAUUCCAUGUGUAGCGGUGAAAUGCGUAGAUAUAUGGAGGAACACCAGUGGCGAAGGCGGCUCUCUGGUCUGUAACUGACGCUAAGGCUCGAAAGCGUGGGGAGCAAACAGG